UACGGAGGGUGCAAGCGUUGUUCGGAAUUACUGGGCGUAAAGCGCGCGUAGGCGGUUUAGUAAGUUGGGAGUGAAAUCCCGGGGCUUAACUCCGGAAUUGCUUUCAAAACUACUAAGCUAGAGUAUGGUAGGGGAUAGUGGAAUUCCUAGUGUAGAGGUGAAAUUCGUAGAUAUUAGGAGGAACACCAGUGGCGAAAGCGACUGUCUGGGCCAUUACUGACGCUGAGGCGCGAAAGCGUGGGGAGCAAACAGG
This 253-nucleotide ribosomal RNA is filed under the name uncultured bacterium. RNAcentral's name for it is "partial 16S ribosomal RNA". It matches the Rfam family "Bacterial small subunit ribosomal RNA", at positions 524 to 776 of the family's 1533-position model. The record is from RNAcentral.